This 253-nucleotide ribosomal RNA is filed under the name uncultured bacterium. RNAcentral describes it as "partial 16S ribosomal RNA". It matches the Rfam family "Bacterial small subunit ribosomal RNA", at positions 524 to 776 of the family's 1533-position model. The record is from RNAcentral.
UACAGGGGGGGCAAGCGUUGUUCGGAAUUACUGGGCGUAAAGGGUUCGUAGGCGGCCAACUAAGUCACACGUGAAAUCCCCAGGCUUAACCUGGGAACUGCGUGUGAUACUGGAUGGCUUGAAUCCGGGAGAGGAAUGCGGAAUUCCAGGUGUAGCGGUGAAAUGCGUAGAUAUCUGGAGGAACACCGGUGGCGAAGGCGGCAUUCUGGACCGGUAUUGACGCUGAUGAACGAAAGCCAGGGGAGCAAACGGG